UCACGGCUUCUUUUCGCCCAGAAUUCAUUGCGCACAAGAUGGUGGUGAUUUGUGUCCCAAGAGAAUCCUGUCUGAGGAGGUCUACAGACAAUAUCCUUAAGUUUCGUGCUUUGUGCUCAGACAUGCAAUGUAAUCUGUGGGACAUAUACAGACGUGUGUCAUGCCCAUAAGUUUACAACAGGCGGACUCCAAGUAGAAACAGUGGAAACAAGAUUCACCUGAGCUCAAUUUUCAGCUUAAUGAGAAAGGCUGUGGAUACUUGCGUAAAUGUUAUUUCUCAGUUUUUUAUUUAUAAAUGUGCAAACAUUGCCAAAUAACCUAUUUUAAGUUAUUAUGGGAUAUUUUGUCUAGAAUUUUGGGAAAUAAAGUUUCUUUAAUUCAUUUUGGAAUAAGGCUUUAACAUAACAAAAUGUGGAAAAAGGGAAGCGGUGUGAAUGCUUUCCGGUUGCACCGUACACCACCACACACUCCAAGUGGACAUGACAGAGAGGAAUUAAAUUUAUACUGAGUCUAUAUCAUGUGAGACACACUAGGCUUCACAUUCAGCGAGCUCCGUGCAAAAGUCUUAAUCCUGCCCUUUUCCUAUAAUCUUUCAAAAUGUUCUUGACCAGUGACGCAUUUUUUUCAAUCAAUCUACAAGUAAAAAAUUCUUCUAACUCAAGGGAUGACCCAGUGUUGAGUCGACAGCUGAGUAUAGGACCACAUCUCAGCGUGUUGUGUGGUUGCAUUCAGCAUUUUCAAUGCAAGUCUUCACUGCUGCACGCAUAAACACACAGUAGAAUCUGGUUUUAUCCUGGAACACAUGUGUUGUUUACAAUCAAAUUUAGCGGCAGGGUGAAAGAAGGUGAGGGCUUAUUUUUAAAAGACUUGUGGAACUGGACUCAUUUGAACUGGUUUCCAUGGAAAUCCUCAGUCCACCAGUCAAACCUCAGUAAGUUCUGACCUCUGCGACGACGCUCAGAAACCUGCAGAUUGACAGCAUUUUACCCCACAAGCGAUUAAAAGAUGAAGGAAGAAGAGGAGGAAAUUACCAUCGAGGACAAAAACCAUCAACUAACUUCCCUGCCAGCAGAAAAUCAAACCACAACAAGUCCAGAUGGGCCUCAUGAUGAGGAUGGGGAGGGUCCCAGUGAAGGACAGCCGGCUCAACGGAUCUCCAAUGAGGACAAACGACACCGAUGUGAUUGUGGAAAAUGUUGGAGGUGGCUGUAUCAAC
This is a long non-coding RNA of Melanotaenia boesemani (Boeseman's rainbowfish), 1216 nucleotides long. RefSeq lists it as uncharacterized. Lineage: Eukaryota; Metazoa; Chordata; Actinopteri; Atheriniformes; Melanotaeniidae. The record is from RefSeq and is a predicted model, not a curated record. The transcript has 3 exons.